RNAcentral lists this ribosomal RNA (520 nucleotides) under uncultured Entrophospora. Its description in RNAcentral is "SSU rRNA". It matches the Rfam family "Eukaryotic small subunit ribosomal RNA", at positions 569 to 1085 of the family's 1831-position model. Lineage: Eukaryota; Fungi; Glomeromycota; Glomeromycetes; Entrophosporales; Entrophosporaceae. The record is from RNAcentral.
CGCAGCCGCGGUAAUUCCAGCUCCAAUAGCGUAUAUUAAAGUUGUUGCAGUUAAAAAGCUCGUAGUUGAAUUUCGGGAUUGACACAUCGGUCGUGCCUUAAGGGGUAUGAACUGGUGUAGUCAAUUUCUCACCUUCUGGAGAACCGCGAUGCCCUUAAUUGGGUGUCACGGGGAACCAGGACCUUUACUUUGAAAAAAUUAGAGUGUUUAGAGCAGGCAUUUUGCUUGAAUACAUUAGCAUGGAAUAAUAAAAUAGGACGGCAUGAUUCUAUUUUGUUGGUUUCUAGGAUCACCGUAAUGAUUAAUAGGGAUAGUUGGGGGCAUUAGUAUUCAAUUGUCAGAGGUGAAAUUCUUGGAUUUAUUGAAGACUAACUACUGCGAAAGCAUUUGCCAAGGAUGUUUUCAUUAAUCAAGAACGAAAGUUAGGGGAUCGAAGACGAUCAGAUACCGUCGUAGUCUUAACCAUAAACUAUGCCGACUAGGAAUCAGACGAUGUUAAUUUUUAAUGACUCGUUUGGCA